UUUGCCUUCACCUCUGAAGAGACACAAUAUCCAUUUACCUGGCAAUUCAUGGGGUACCUCAACGGCCUUCCCAUCACACAGUCUUCUCAGGCAAGAUCUUAACUGCAUCCAGCUUCUUUCAGGAGCACAGCUUCACCCUCUUCCCCUCUGCCCCACAUCUGGACGAGUUGAUAAGAAGCCCUGGUGCUCCCUCCUUGGUGCCCGGAAAAGAUUCAAACCAUGCAAGCCCCUUCCUGUGCCUCACCUCAGGCCCCAAUCACAAUGAAAAUCCAAGCUGAUCUCCUUUCCUUGUUCUUUCAAGCCAUAUCUAACCUGCUUGGGAAGCCUCCCCUCCUCUACCAAGAAAAUCUUCAUUUAUAGUCUUACUCAGUCACCCCAGGUAGAGUGUAGUGG
Lemur catta (Ring-tailed lemur) is the source of this 393-nucleotide long non-coding RNA. RefSeq lists it as uncharacterized. The transcript has 3 exons. Lineage: Eukaryota; Metazoa; Chordata; Mammalia; Primates; Lemuridae. The record is from RefSeq and is a predicted model, not a curated record.